GCCCCUGUGGCGGAAUUGGUAGACGCGACGGAUUCAAAAUCCGUUUUCUUCGGGAGUGCCGGUUCGAGUCCGGCCGGGGGCACCA
RNAcentral lists this transfer RNA (85 nucleotides) under Ponticaulis sp. RNAcentral's name for it is "tRNA-Leu". It matches the Rfam family "tRNA". From Rfam's summary of the family: Transfer RNA (tRNA) molecules are approximately 80 nucleotides in length. Their secondary structure includes four short double-helical elements and three loops (D, anti-codon, and T loops). Further hydrogen bonds mediate the characteristic L-shaped molecular structure. tRNAs have two regions of fundamental functional importance: the anti-codon, which is responsible for specific mRNA codon recognition, and the 3' end, to which the tRNAs corresponding amino acid is attached (by aminoacyl-tRNA synthetases). tRNAs cope with the degeneracy of the genetic code in two manners: having more than one tRNA (with a specific anti-codon) for a particular amino acid; and 'wobble' base-pairing, i.e. permitting non-standard base-pairing at the 3rd anti-codon position. RNAcentral also lists the same sequence under 1 other name. Lineage: Bacteria; Pseudomonadati; Pseudomonadota; Alphaproteobacteria; Hyphomonadales; Hyphomonadaceae. The record is from RNAcentral.